CUCGCUGUGAAGAUGCAGUGUACCCGCGGCAAGACGGAAAGACCCCGUGAACCUUUACUAUAGCUUGACACUGAACAUUGAGCCUUGAUGUGUAGGAUAGGUGGGAGGCUUUGAAGUGUGGACGCCAGUCUGCAUGGAGCCGGCCUUGAAAUACCACCCUUUAAUGUUUGAUGUUCUAACGUGGACCCGUGAUCCGGGUUGCGGACAGUGUCUGGUGGGUAGUUUGACUGGGGCGGUCUCCUCCUAAAGAGUAACGGAGGAGCACGAAGGUUGGCUAAUCCUGGUCGGACAUCAGGAGGUUAGUGCAAUGGCAUAAGCCAGCUUGACUGCGAGCGUGACGGCGCGAGCAGGUGCGAAAGCAGGUCAUAGUGAUCCGGUGGUUCUGAAUGGAAGGGCCAUCGCUCAACGGAUAAAAGGUACUCCGGGGAUAACAGGCUGAUACCGCCCAAGAGUUCAUAUCGACGGCGGUGUUUGGCACCUCGAUGUCGGCUCAUCACAUCCUGGGGCUGAAGUAGGUCCCAAGGGUAUGGCUGUUCGCCAUUUAAAGUGGUACGCGAGCUGGGUUUAGAACGUCGUGAGACAGUUCGGUCCCUAUCUGCCGUGGGCGCUGGAGAACUGAGGGGGGCUGCUCCUAGUACGAGAGGACCGGAGUGGACGCAUCACUGGUGUUCGGGUUGUCAUGCCAAUGGCACUGCCCGGUAGCUAAAUGCGGAAGAGAUAAGUGCUGAAAGCAUCUAAGCACGAAACUUGCCCCGAGAUGAGUUCUCCCUGACCCUUUAAGGGUCCUGAAGGAACGUUGAAGACGACGACGUUGAUAGGCCGGGUGUGUAAGCGCAGCGAUGCGUUGAGCUAACCGGUACUAAUGAACCGUGAGGCUUAACCUUA
Molecule: ribosomal RNA, 885 nt
Filed under: Shigella sonnei
Lineage: Bacteria; Pseudomonadati; Pseudomonadota; Gammaproteobacteria; Enterobacterales; Enterobacteriaceae
Description: partial 23S ribosomal RNA
Rfam family: Bacterial large subunit ribosomal RNA
Source: RNAcentral